This 775-nucleotide unclassified non-coding RNA is filed under the name Hevea brasiliensis (rubber tree). Lineage: Eukaryota; Viridiplantae; Streptophyta; Magnoliopsida; Malpighiales; Euphorbiaceae. The record is from RNAcentral.
UUAUGUUUGUGAAUUGACUCAAUUGCGAGAACACUUUGAGCAAUGUAAAACUUCGCCACAUUUUCAGUUAAUGUGUCCUCCCGCAUCAGCAGAGUCAUCAUAUCACCACCCGGCAGAUAUUCCAUAAUCAGAUACAAAUACUCGGCAUCCUGAAAUGAGUAAUAGAGUUUGACAAUGCAGUGGCUUGCAACUUCAGCCAGCAAGUUCCUUUCAGCUCUAACAUGUUCCACCUGUCCUUUCAUUAGCAUUUCUGAUUUCUUUAACUUUUUCAUGGCAUAAAUAUUGCCAGAUUUCUUCUCCCGGCACAAGCGAACCUCACCAAAGGCUCCUCUACCAAUGAUGGUCAAAAGCUCAAAAUCAUCAACACAAAUCUUAUGCCUUUUAAGUCGUAUAAAUUCUGUUUCUUUUCUUUCCAAGUCUUUUAUCAGAUUGAUCUGUUCCUCCUUGGGCACAUCAGAAGAAGCUAGUUUCCUUUCUAACACCCACCGUCUCUCUUUUCGGUCUUGAAUAUUCUUCAUCUGAGCUCUGUAGUGAUUCUCUAUGAACUGCUUCGCUGCCGCGACUUUCUCCAUCGUCAAGCUCGAUCCCAAGACCUCCUCUUCUCCGUUCUCCUCCUCUUCUAUAUCCUCCAUUCUCUCUCUCUCUCUCUCUCUCUUUCUAGAAUCUACAGGUGUAAUUUCCUUUACGAAUUUCUCUUCCUCACUCAGAAUCUCUCAAGCUCAGUCUUGGUACUCUCUCUCUCUCUCUCUCUCUAAAAGAAACACACUCUCUUAAG